UCGAGAGCAUCUUGCUGAGACCAGCCCUGCCCUGUCCUGCGUAGGGGCCCCCUCUGUGGUGAGAACCCCUGAGGGCUAGUGUCAGGGGGAAAGGACAACACUUGCCAGCAGCUGUCUUAACUGCACCCCUUGUCCUUUGGGAGGGCCCCAGGCUGGCAGCCGGGGGAGGGAGCACUGGCCUUCUUCUGCUGAGGCCCGGAAGCUUCUCCUGCCCAGCAAAGGCCCCCGGAGCUCUCUGCAGACUCAAGGACACAGCCCCAAGGAAGUGUGGCGCCCUGGGCCCACCCCAAUCCCUGCAGCUUCCGGAGAGAGCAGCCAACAUGACCCUGCCUUCUCCUGCCCUCGAGAGUCUCCUGUGAGCACUGUGAGCAAAGGGAGUAGCAGGUGACAUUUAUUGAGUGCCUACUGCAUGCCAGGUGCCGUGCAAAGCGGCCAUCGUAGGCGCACCUCCCCCCUCAUAGCACAGACCACACCUGAUGUGCCUGACCCAGGAGGCAGGCAGUGCACAUUCAGGACCUAAAAUCGGAGCAUAGCCAGGUGAUGCCCAUUUUACAGGUGACAGGACUGAGGCCCCAAUACGCAGUCUCUCUGCCAUGAACUGGAUGGCACGGACGGAGGACGGCGGCUCUGGGAGUGUCCCACAGGGCCUGGGCGUGGUGGAGCUGGGUAUCCGUGGACCUGACUGUCCCCCACUGGGACUCCUGGGAGGAAGGGAGAGGGAGAGAGAGAAACAUCAAUGAUGAGAGGAUCCUUGAUCGGCUGCCUCCUGCACGCCCCGUACUGGGGAUGGAGCCUACAACCUGGCAUGUGCCCUGACCACGAAUCGAACCCUGACCUCCUGGUUCACGGGUUGAUGCUCAGGGCCCAGGACACACUGGAGGCCAGCAAGUCGGUCCCCAGCCUCAGCCACCCUCCUUCUGCAAAGUCCGUCUUACCCUCCUCUUGCUCUGCACCCUAGGUCACCCCUCCAUUCCAGGGACGUGCACUGAGCACCCAACGCAGGCUGGGCAAAGAGCAGAUAUGGGCCUGUCGUAGAGCUGACGGUGUGGAAGGGAGAUGGGCUUAGCCAUUUAAUAGAAGUUAGAUGACACCUGUGCUAGUGCUGGGCAGUGUG
Eptesicus fuscus (big brown bat) is the source of this 1114-nucleotide long non-coding RNA. RefSeq lists it as uncharacterized. The transcript has 3 exons. The record is from RefSeq and is a predicted model, not a curated record. NCBI's taxonomy places the organism in Eukaryota, Metazoa, Chordata, Mammalia, Chiroptera, Vespertilionidae.